UUUUAGCCCCGAUAGAAGUGAAAAUCCUUUUUUGUUUUUUCUUUAAAAACAUAAAAGAUUGUAGCGGAUAGCGGGAAACAGC
This 82-nucleotide small RNA is filed under the name Flavobacterium sp. 9. RNAcentral's name for it is "Flavo-1 RNA". It matches the Rfam family "Flavo-1 RNA". The record is from RNAcentral. Lineage: Bacteria; Pseudomonadati; Bacteroidota; Flavobacteriia; Flavobacteriales; Flavobacteriaceae.